GCCAGUCAUUCCACCGCCCCUGUCUUUUCUCCUCCCUUCCCUAAUCUUCCAUGGUCGCCAGAUCCCUCCCUCCAUAGCCGGCGCUCCCUGUAAGGCCGCCCCUCCCCUUCGUCACCCACGCCGGUGGACGUGCAUGCCCCUGCUCCACCUCGCUCCUCCUUCGAAUUCGGCCGUCGAAGUGCUCGAGGAGGCAGUCGAGCUUGGCAUGCUCGCCGGUGACGCUGGCCCCUUACCGCACACGCCGGACUACCAACCUCUCAGGCGGGGGGCGCACGCCGACCCCAGGAAGAGAGAAGCGAAGAUUUUGUGCCGGCUUCUUGCUCAGCUGGGAAUUUGAAGAGGACGGCCGUGGCCAUGGCCUUGGAGGAGGUGGAAGUUCCCGUCCCCACAGAGAAGUUGUCCACGGAUCCAAAUCUAGACGGGGGAAGGCGGGGUGGUGUUGUGCUGGUGGCCACCGGGAGCUUCAACCUUCCCACCUACAUGCACAGACAUGUUUGAGCUUGCGAAGGAUGAGUUGCAGCAGCGAGGGUAGUCGGUGCUGGGAUGUUACUGCCUUAAUGGAUACAUGUCCCUGGUGAACCGAUGCUAACAAGAAGAAGGCAAUGCAGAAAGGUCAUCAGCGUACCUUGACCAUUCUCUCAAGAGUUAAGAAUUCUUCUGUGCAAGGAUGGCUUAGCUGAUCAAGGAAGUGUCAAGGUAAUGCUGCUAUGUGGUUCUGACCUGCUCGAGUCAUUCAGCAAGCCAGGGGUUUGGAUUCCAGAUCAGUCAAAGGAAGAAGUCGAACCUGAAGAAGUCCUCAGAAGAAUCACAGCUGCGUGUGCCCGGCUGGUUCAGGGGACGCGACAGGCGCUGGCGCCCUACCCCGGCGGGCGUGUGCGCGGCGGCGUGGGUGCCAGUGCAGGGCGGGCACGGCGGUGCGGGUGCCGGGGCAGGCUCUCUCCUGGGCACUGGCGAUCUCGCAGGACGGAUGCCACGCUACGAGCGGCAACAAUCGGCGAUGGCGAUCGUGCACGGAGGUGACGGGACGGUGCAGUGCGGCGUGGUCGCUGCGCAGGCAGGAGACGCCGUUGGUUGGCGGCGUAUGUGCCUGGCGGUGAGGUCAAGGUCAAGGGCGUGAAGUUCCCUUAGCUUGCGAUCUGAUUUUCCGUGAUUGUAGGGGAUGCUGGGCUGGUUGUUAGUUUGCGAUCUGAUUUCCGUGAUUGUAGGGGACGCGCGGGGCUGGUUGUUCGACUACUACUCUCCUGGUGAAGUACGGUCAGUCAUUGGUAAAUGCUAAGUGCACACUGUAGAGGUAUUGGAUUAAUGAUGGCCGUUAGAUUGAGACUUGUUGGCCUAAUCGUGUGGUGCUGAUUGGCUCGUGCGUUAUAGUGUGAUUAAUUGCGGGGUGCAUGUAAGAAAGUUCUUGUUUGAUUGUUUAAUAGUAGUAGAAGAAGUAGAUAGAUAAUCGUGUGGUGCUGAUUGGCUCGUGCGUUAUUGUGGGAUUAAUUGCGGGGUGCAUGUAAGAAAGUUUUUGUUUGAUUGUUUAAUAGUAGUAGAAGAUUAUUAAUAGUAGUAGAUAGAGAAGUAGAGAAGAGAUAGGGAUUUCAGGCCUGGGAGCAAAAGACGAAAUAAUGUCAUUUGCAAUCAAUGGUGAUACAAUAUUUGUAUGAAACAUAAUAAAGAAAAACUAAUAGGCGUACAUGUAUUAAAAAAUUGGCACUGGUGUGUUUCUGCUGCCUAAUUAACACCUUGCAUCAUAUUCUGCAUAUGGGUAACAAAAUUGCAAGAAUGGAAAAAUUCUAACAAAAUUGUAUUAAAAAAUUGUAUGUAUAGUAUAUAUUAUAAGAAAACGCUACAGAACUUUAUAAAAAACAUACAUAAAAAUUCCCAAAUCUGGACAUAUAUUACAUUAUAUAUUAUAUAUCCAGUACAUCUAAAGAGAAGUACUCAAAUAUAAUAUUGGAAGUUGCUAGUGUGUGCAUUACGGUGAUUGACGAGUUACGAUUCGUAAUUUCGUGUAACUCCGCCGCUGAUUUUUUCUAACUGUCGGAUCAAAGAAAUCAUUUAAAGGUUUUUUAUGUGCGAACAGGGUAGAGUAGUAAAUUAGCCGGUCAAUCCAGUCGCUAGUCAAUCCCUCGCAUAGCCUUCGUCGUUGUCAGUUUAUUAUCCUCCUCAAUCCCCUCGCACAGCCGCCGCCACCGACCCGACCCUCGACCGUGGCGAUGACGGCGUCCCUCCUGUCGGUCGUGCCGCCGCUGCCCCAGAUCGUCACACAGCCGCAGCUGCCUAUACUUUUUCUCGCCCCUCCCCUAAUCCAGUUUCCGUCCAAAGCCGCCACCGCAAACAAGGGAUCCCACCGGACCUCGCCGCCGCCGCAAUCAAGUGAUCCCGCCGGACCUCGCCGCCGCCGCCAUCAAGGGAUCCCGCCGGACCUCGCCACCGCCGCAAUUAAGGGAUCCCGCUGGAUUGCCGCCAGGUUUCUGGCCCGCCGCCAGGAGCCGCAGGAACUGCAUGCCAUUAGGCGCGGCGUGCCGAGCCCGCCGAAGCCUCCUCUGCCCCACCGCCCCCUGCAGCGCAUCCCUCCGUCGAGCAUCCGGUCAUGCCGAGCAACGCCGCGGACCAGUCCGUAGGCAGGAUCUAUCUGGCCGACCUCAUUUGAGCUGCGGCUUAAGUAUUCCUACUGCACGGGUUUGCACAUAUGAUACAUAGUUGGUUGAGCACAUCUUCUAGACUCUUGUGAAUACAUCUGGGACAACGGUUCACAUCAGUCAGGGUUGCCAUGUGAAGAAAAAGGAUAUGUGGGAGCUUUUGAAUGGACAAAGGCUUCAGCAAGGAAGAGAAGACAGCUGCAUUUCCUUACUUGCAAUUCUAGUAACUAUCUUUGUUAUAACUUGCAGAGUGUACCUGCAAAAGAAAACUUGUAGAGUGUGAUGGAUUAAUUAGGAUGCUAUGUAAUCAGAGUAAGUACCCUAUCAUAUGUAUCAUGACUGAUUGCGACCAGGGUCUGCAUUCUAUGAAGAAGGCACCCAUUUAUAUGUUUAUUAGUGACAUUGUGUUGUGCUUGCUC
Molecule: long non-coding RNA, 3046 nt
Organism: Triticum dicoccoides
Lineage: Eukaryota; Viridiplantae; Streptophyta; Magnoliopsida; Poales; Poaceae
Exons: 9
Source: RefSeq, a predicted model, not a curated record